This 497-nucleotide ribosomal RNA is filed under the name uncultured bacterium. RNAcentral's name for it is "partial 16S ribosomal RNA". It matches the Rfam family "Bacterial small subunit ribosomal RNA", at positions 28 to 507 of the family's 1533-position model. The record is from RNAcentral.
GAUGAACGCUGGCGGCGUGCCUAAUACAUGCAAGUGGAGCGAACAGACGAGGAGCUUGCUCCUCUGACGUUAGCGGCGGACGGGUGAGUAACACGUGGAUAACCUACCUAUAAGACUGGGAUAACUUCGGGAAACCGGAGCUAAUACCGGAUAAUAUAUUGAACCGCAUGGUUCAAUAGUGAAAGACGGUUUUGCUGUCACUUAUAGAUGGAUCCGCGCCGCAUUAGCUAGUUGGUAAGGUAACGGCUUACCAAGGCAACGAUGCGUAGCCGACCUGAGAGGGUGAUCGGCCACACUGGAACUGAGACACGGUCCAGACUCCUACGGGAGGCAGCAGUAGGGAAUCUUCCGCAAUGGGCGAAAGCCUGACGGAGCAACGCCGCGUGAGUGAUGAAGGUCUUCGGAUCGUAAAACUCUGUUAUUAGGGAAGAACAAAUGUGUAAGUAACUAUGCACGUCUUGACGGUACCUAAUCAGAAAGCCACGGCUAACUACGUG